RNAcentral lists this ribosomal RNA (437 nucleotides) under uncultured Clostridium sp. RNAcentral describes it as "partial 16S ribosomal RNA". It matches the Rfam family "Bacterial small subunit ribosomal RNA", at positions 341 to 792 of the family's 1533-position model. The record is from RNAcentral. Lineage: Bacteria; Bacillati; Bacillota; Clostridia; Eubacteriales; Clostridiaceae.
ACGGAAGGCAGCAGUGGGGGAUAUUGCACAAUGGAGGAAACUCUGAUGCAGCAACGCCGCGUGAGGGAAGACGGUCUUCGGAUUGUAAACCUAAGUUGUCAGGGACGAAAGAAAUGACGGUACCUGGAGAGAAAGCUCCGGCUAACUACGUGCCAGGAGCCGCGGUAAUACGUAGGGAGCGAGCGUUGUCCGGAUUUACUGGGUGUAAAGGGUGCGUAGGCGGGCUUGCAAGUCAGGCGUGAAAUCCCGUGGCUUAACCACGGGGCUGCGCUUGAAACUGUAGGUCUUGAGUGAGGUAGAGGCAAGCGGAAUUCCCAGUGUAGCGGUGAAAUGCGUAGAUAUUGGGAGGAACACCAGUGGCGAAGGCGGCUUGCUGGGCCUUAACUGACGCUGAGGCACGAAAGCAUGGGGAGCAAACAGGAUUAGAUACCCUGGUA